RNAcentral lists this ribosomal RNA (301 nucleotides) under uncultured bacterium. RNAcentral describes it as "partial 16S ribosomal RNA". It matches the Rfam family "Bacterial small subunit ribosomal RNA", at positions 509 to 807 of the family's 1533-position model. The record is from RNAcentral.
CAGUAGCCACGGUAAAACGGAGGGAGCUAGCGUUGUUCGGAAUUAUUGGGCGUAAAGGGCUCGCAGGCGGUUUCUUAAGUCUGAUGUGAAAGCCCCCGGCUCAACCGGGGAGGGUCAUUGGAAACUGGGAAACUUGAGUGCAGAAGAGGAGAGUGGAAUUCCACGUGUAGCGGUGAAAUGCGUAGAGAUGUGGAGGAACACCAGUGGCGAGGGCGACUCUCUGGUCUGUAACUGACGCUGAGGAGCGAAAGCGUGGGGAGCGAACAGGAUUAGAUACCCCAGUAGUCCCUGUCUCUUAUAC